GACGAACCGUCCGAACGUUAUUCGGUAUCACUGGGCUUAAAGAGUUCGUAGGCGGCCUAGCAGGUGAGGUGUGAAAGCCCUCGGCUCAACCGGGGAACUGCGCUUCAAACCGCAAGGCUGGAGGGAGAUAGAGGUGAGCGGAACAGAUGGUGGAGCGGUGAAAUGCGUUGAUAUCAUCUGGAACACCGGUGGCGAAAGCGGCUCACUGGAUCUUUUCUGACGCUGAGGAACGAAAGCUAGGGUAGCGAACGGG
This 253-nucleotide ribosomal RNA is filed under the name uncultured bacterium. Its description in RNAcentral is "partial 16S ribosomal RNA". It matches the Rfam family "Bacterial small subunit ribosomal RNA", at positions 524 to 776 of the family's 1533-position model. The record is from RNAcentral.